AAUGAACGUUGGCGGCGUGGAUUAGGCAUGCAAGUCGAGCGAGGACCCCGCAAGGGGGGACAGCGGCGAAAGGGACAGUAAUGUGUAGAUUAUCUGCCCUCAGGUCCGGGAUAGCUGCGGGAAACUGCAGGUAAUACCGGAUAACAUCUCCGGAUCAAAGGUGUGAUUCCGCCUGAGGAUGAGUCUGCAUCCUAUUAGCUAGUUGGUGGGGUAAUGGCCUACCAAGGCAUUGAUGGGUAGCAGGUGUGAGAGCACGACCUGCGUCAUUGGGACUGAGACACUGCCCAGACACCUACGGGUGGCUGCAGUCGAGAAUCUUCGGCAAUGGGCGCAAGCCUGACCGAGCGACGCCGCGUGUGGGAUGAAGGCCUUCGGGUUGUAAACCACUGUCAGAGGGGAUGAAAUGCAGGUGGGUUCUCCCAUCUGUUUGACAUAGCCUCAGAGGAAGGACGGGCUAAGUUCGUG
RNAcentral lists this ribosomal RNA (465 nucleotides) under uncultured bacterium. RNAcentral describes it as "partial 16S ribosomal RNA". It matches the Rfam family "Bacterial small subunit ribosomal RNA", at positions 29 to 507 of the family's 1533-position model. The record is from RNAcentral.